GGCGAGAUAGCUCAGUUGGUAGAGCAAACGGCUCAUAAUCGUUAGGUCUCGGGUCCGAGUCCCGAUCUCGCCA
Molecule: transfer RNA, 73 nt
Filed under: Chloroflexota bacterium
Lineage: Bacteria; Bacillati; Chloroflexota
Also listed under: 1 other name
Description: Chloroflexi bacterium tRNA-Met
Rfam family: tRNA
About the family: Transfer RNA (tRNA) molecules are approximately 80 nucleotides in length. Their secondary structure includes four short double-helical elements and three loops (D, anti-codon, and T loops).
Source: RNAcentral